Alexandromys fortis (reed vole) is the source of this 4090-nucleotide long non-coding RNA. RefSeq lists it as uncharacterized. The transcript has 2 exons. The record is from RefSeq and is a predicted model, not a curated record. NCBI's taxonomy places the organism in Eukaryota, Metazoa, Chordata, Mammalia, Rodentia, Cricetidae.
CCCUUCUCUCUAGAACUGACUUCAUUUCCGCUGCUGCGGAGCCGUGGGAGCUGAGCUAGCAUAUUGGAAACAUCAUCCAGGAAUCGGCACAGCCCCGUUUACACUUGUCUUCUGAAACUGGAAUGGAAGGUGAACAAUAGAGACCUGUUCAAAGGGAGUCGUUUUCUGGCUCGAAUAUAAAAUGAAAUAAAUUUAUAUGCUUGAGGGCAGGGUUGACUGCUAUCCACGGAACAGGCUUUUGCUGCCUGGGACCGCGUCAUCGCGAUAACAGUGGCACUUGCUAUUACGUUAUAGUCACGAAGCCACUCAAGUGCUCGCGGGCCAGUGUCGGAGCCAGGAAUCCUCCACAAACAAUAAAUAUGCUGUGUCGGCGACUUGAGAAACAGAGUAGACACCAUGCAAAUACUGGAGGUGUCACUCACUUCUUAGAGGGUUCUGCUGCCUUGUCCGUCAUUGCAAGUCUCCCCUUACCGGAAAACACGGCUGGAAGUAAACGUUCGUGCUCUUGGGAAAAGGAACGACUUUACUGGGCCUCUGUCGACCUUUUAGAGUCACUAGGAGCCCCAGUAGGCUUUGGAGGUCAUCUGAAGUCUCUUGUUUUGGGUGUGAAGCAUCAGGUGAGAAGCUGAGAAGCGGCAGCAGUUCAGUCUCCUUAAGGCCUUGCCAGUGUGAAGUUGGAGCAGAGGCACCCCUGCGGCCCUCAUCCAUGCCCUCAUCCCUACACUGGGCUCUGUGUUCAGCUACGACAACCCUCUGCUUGUUCUUCUGGCUAAGCAGGAUACACUUUAUCCAGUUCUUUGGAAUUGCAACCUGGGAGACGACCAUCUAAAAUUUAUAUUGUUCCUUUCUUGAAAUUAAAGCGAAGAAACCAACACCAGAGGAGAUCCUUCUACACAUAGAAGCCGGAAAAAUAAUCCUAGUGCUGUUGAAAACAGGAUUAAGGUAAUUACAGAAUGACCAGGAGAGAAAACGUGAAGCACAAACUAAAACCCAGCACAGUUAGAGAAUAAGCUUUGCAUGGAGCUCCUGGAGCUUUCUGAGAAGGGCUGCCCAGCACUUCAGUAAGCUUCGCUGCCAUCCACUACCUGUGUCCCUGUGCCCAGAAUUCAGGAGGUCUUAAAGUGCCAUCUGCUCCCUCCACACCCUCACAGGUCCGGAGACUCUGAGAGUCUGAAAAAUGCAGUGUGUAAUCCCUCCCUGCCUGCCCCAGGACUGCUCCAGUCAGGGUCCAGGAAGUCCCUGGACUUUUCAUUUGUUUGGAAGUGGAGGUUGAGCAGAAGAUAGAUUCCAGAUCACGGCCUCAGAAAAUUCCAGAAGAAAUCAGAAAAUCUGACAGGUCAUUUGAGCUUCUAAUAUUUUAAUACAAAGAGCGUCAUGAAGCCUGCCUAAACUUCCUCCUGCAUAACCACAGUAAUCACAAGGUUGCUCACUGCUUUCAAACACCCCACCAUUUUUGACUCAAAGUUUGCAAAAUGUCUCUUUUCAAGCAAACUAAACCUCCCUUUCCUGUAACAGCCUUUCGUUGACCCCAGAGGCCUCUAGGUCAUGAAGGAUACACUAUCCCUUCUGCAGUAACUUUCUAUGGUUCUGCUUAAAAAAGACGGACCGCUGAGAGUAGUCACAGUGUGCUGCUGUCUGGUAGGUGUCCUUCAGUCACUUACCUGGUGAAUACAACCCUGGUACUCUAAACCUAUUAAAAUGUCCUUGGGUGGGGAGGUCGUCAACCCUAGGCAUGACCUCACUAUUAUUAGCUAAAUUGACAGGGCACCAAACUGUAGGGUAAAUCCUAUUGUUUACAUCCACAGACAAGUUCUACUUUUAUUCUUCAUCCGAAACAUCUCUCCAAAGGGAACAACAGUGAGUGCAGAGACGCCCGGGUGCCCAAGGUAAUUGGGAUACAUGAUGGUUGAAUACGUAGCCUGAAGCAGGACCUUUAUGCCACCCUUUCUAAGGCUCAGGAAAUACUGCAAUGCAAGAGCUAGAAAAUGGGUAAAGGAGACAGAAAACAUUCUCCUCCAAUCAUGACACAGUCACAGCAAACGUGAUCUCACAGGGCUGGACCAACAAAGACUGGGCUGGUCAUCAACCCCAUGGAAGAGUGACUCCGGAGGCCCUACAGCUCCUUCCUGAGCUCCUGGCAGCUGAUCAGUGCUGGGGUAGAGACAGUCAGCAGAGGCUGCGUCCUCCAAGCUUCAGUUGGAGAGCGCCUCACUCCUAGCCACACAGAUGGCCCUGGUUAAAAUCAGUGGGCAACAAAACAAAACAAAAGGGCUUGAGUGUGGAAAAGGGAAUCUGUAAGGAAGAGAGGGAAAUAACCAGGCAGGAUGGGAGGGAGGUAACAGAGAGCAGAAACAGAAUGAGGUUGUCAAAGAAAAAAAAAUUCAUCACUAAGAGAUAUACUGUUAAUGAAACAAUUACAAGGAUACUAAUGGCAUAGAAUUAAAAGUGGAUUAAGCCCUAAUUACUGGAUCAUAAACAGGCAACCACGCAGUCUUUAUGGGGCCUUAGAGAACGGUCUUAGAGGCCAUUCUGAGAAUGACUAGCCUAUUACAGAUGACUUGGGAUUGAUUCCACACCUAUCCUCCUUAGCCUUGCCUGCUCAGCAAUGAUGAGAUCUCUCCUUUUAGACACAAUAUAGUGAAGAUUCAAAAGUACAUUUCUCUCUGAAUCUAAACAUACAUGAUUUCAAUUUUUUCCUUGGAAAAAUAAGAUUUUACACGUAUUAGGUAAACAUAUAACUGAUCAUAGGACCUCCACAGUGUAAGACAUCAUUGUCCAUGUAAGGAAAGCAAGAAAAGUUUUAAAUGUAAAAAAUGCUAAAGACCGAUCAGGGAAAUGCAAAUCCAGACAAUUUUAAGAUACCAUCUUACACCUGUCAGAAUGGCUAAAAUCAAAAACACCAAUGAUAGCCUUUGCUGGAGAGGUUGUGGAGAAAGGGGUACACUCAUCCAUUGCUGGUGGGAAUGCAAACUUGUGCAACCACUCUGGAAAGCAGUGUGGAGGUUUCUCAGGAAAUUCGGGAUCAACCUACCCCUGGACCCAGCAAUACCACUCUUGGGAAUAUACCCAAGAGAUGCCCUAUCAUACAACAAAAGUAUAUGCUCUACUAUGUUCAUAGCAGCAUUGUUUGUAAUAGCCAGAACCUGGAAACAAGCUAGAUGACCUUCAAUGGAAGAAUGGAUGAAGAAAGUAUGGAAUAUAUACAUAUUAGAGUACUACACAGCAGUAAAAAACAAGGACUUCUUGAAGUUUGCAAACAAAUGGAUGGAAAUAGAAAACACUAUCCUGAGUGAGGUAAGCCAGACCCAAAAAGAGGAACAUGGGAUGUACUCACUCAUAUUUGGUUUCUAGCCAUAAAUAAAGGACAUUGAGCCUAUAAUUCGUGAUCCUAGAGAGGCUAAAUAAGAAGGAAAACCCAAAGAAAAACAUAUAGGCAUCCUCCUGUAUAUUAACCUUCAUCAGGCAAUGAAAGGAGACAGAGACAGAGACAGAGACCCACAUUGGAGCACCGGACUGAAAUCUCAAGGUCCAAAUCAGGAGCAGAAGGAGAGCGAACAUGAGCAAGGAAUGCAGGACCGCGAGGGGUGCACCCACACUGGGACAAUGGAGAUGCUCUAUCGGGAACUCACCAAGGCCAGCUGACCUGGGUCUGAAAAAGCCUGGGUUAAAACAGGUCUCACUGAACAUAGCGGACAAUGAGGACUACUGAGAACUCAAGAACAAUGGCAAUGGGGUUUUGAUCCUACUGCAUGUACUGGCUUUGUGGGAGCCUAGGCAGUUUGGAUGCUCACCUUACUGGACCUGAAUGGAGGUGGGUCGUCCUUGGACUUCCCACAGGGCAGGGAACCCUGGAUUGCUCUUUGGGCUGAUGAGGGAGGGGGACUUGAUCACGAGAGGGGGAGGGAAAUGGGAGGCGGUGGCAGGGAGGAGGCAGAAAUCUUUAAUAAAUAAAUUUAAAAAAUGCUAAAGACAAGGGAAUAGUUUUUUUAAAUGUUACAAUGUUUUAUGAUAUUGAUUUCACAUUUAGACAAUAGUAUUUAAACUGUAAAUGAUUCAUAUUAAUCACUAAUAAAUUUUUAAUAUUACAAUA